UGCCUGGUGGCACUAGCGCGGUGGUCCCACCUGACCCCAUGCCGAACUCAGAAGUGAAACGCCGUAGCGCCGAUGGUAGUGUGGGGUCUCCCCAUGCGAGAGUAGGGAACUGCCAGGCAU
This 120-nucleotide ribosomal RNA is filed under the name Salmonella enterica subsp. enterica serovar Paratyphi C str. RKS4594. The record is from RNAcentral. Lineage: Bacteria; Pseudomonadati; Pseudomonadota; Gammaproteobacteria; Enterobacterales; Enterobacteriaceae.